Molecule: long non-coding RNA, 433 nt
Organism: Eupeodes corollae
Lineage: Eukaryota; Metazoa; Arthropoda; Insecta; Diptera; Syrphidae
Exons: 3
Source: RefSeq, a predicted model, not a curated record
AGAUCACCGAACCACCUUUAACUAGAAAAAUAUCAGAUGACGACUUACGCGCAAUGGUUCAAAAUGUUCCUGAAAAUAUAGAGCUAUCCAAAUAUCCAUGUCACACUCAAGCCGUCGAAAGAUGCAUUAAGCUGGUGACAGAAGCUUCAGCUUCAGUGUGUGGCCGAGAGUCAAGAGAUGGAUUUAUAAAAGCAAGAAUCUCAUCUCGAAAGCCGUUGCCAAAAUUUGAAACGAAGAAGGAAUUUGCUAAGGCUUAAGAAAAAUGAUCCAUCUUUUUUUAUUUAUUUGAUUAAAAACGAUUUGUAACCUCAACCCCACACCCAAAACAUGAAUUGAAUAGAACACCUAUUGGUAUAAUAGUGUAAGGGUAUUAAUUUGGAAAAUGUAUUUUUUUUUACUAAAACAUGUAAUUUAUUUUUUUUUGCAUUCAAAA